GCGGGGGUACCAUAGCCAGGUCAAAUGGGCAGUGGGCCACUGGAACGUGCCCGCCUCGGGCUUAGGACCCUGUGGCGAAGGCCUUCGUGGGUUCGAAUCCCACCCCCCGCACCA
This 114-nucleotide transfer RNA is filed under the name Candidatus Bathyarchaeota archaeon. RNAcentral's name for it is "tRNA-OTHER". It matches the Rfam family "tRNA". From Rfam's summary of the family: Transfer RNA (tRNA) molecules are approximately 80 nucleotides in length. Their secondary structure includes four short double-helical elements and three loops (D, anti-codon, and T loops). RNAcentral also lists the same sequence under 1 other name. Lineage: Archaea; Thermoproteati; Candidatus Bathyarchaeota. The record is from RNAcentral.